ACUGACGAUAAUAGCAGUUUGGCACCACCUGAUCCCAUUCCGAACUCAGAAGUGAAACGGACUUACGCCGAUGAUAGUUUAGCAUUCGCUAGGUGAAAGUAGGUAAUCGUCAGAC
RNAcentral lists this ribosomal RNA (115 nucleotides) under Francisella adeliensis. The record is from RNAcentral. Lineage: Bacteria; Pseudomonadati; Pseudomonadota; Gammaproteobacteria; Thiotrichales; Francisellaceae. RNAcentral also lists the same sequence under 1 other name.